AAAUUCUCUUUGAGGCCUUUACGCGACAACAACCUCAAUCAUUAGCAUUAUGAAACCGACACAAGCUUCUAAGUCACUUUGAAAAUCCUCUCUUCAGAAGUCUUUGGCUUCAUCGACAGGCUGAUAUCUUCUUCUUUUCUUUCUUUCUUUCUUUUUUUUCUGGGUGGAAAUUUAAAAUGGCUGAUCUGAGAUGAUCAAAUUACGUGGAGUCUUCCUGCCAUUAGAGGACAACUCUUUUCUUGUAAGUCUAACGUUGAGAGUAGAGAUGGGGAUUGGAUCUGGGCACUCCCCCAUCACUUCUUCUUUUCUUCCUAAAGGUACAUCCAUUUCCAAUUCUAUAAGUUUUUAAACAUUUGUUGAAGCAUUUUCCUAUUGCUUUCAAUCUUUCAUUCUUGGUGUUGCUGGUUUUUUCAUCAAUCCAAUUUAGAAUGACUUGAUUAAUUAAAUCACGUUUAAGACAUGAUAUCAGCAUAUCACUUCACUUAAUUGUAGUAAUUUGUAAUCAUCGGGUGUAUUAUAAAAAACUGUGAUUGAUAAGUCUUAAAGUAAAUGCCUUGUGUGAAGACUAUCCAUUGUUUUCACAUACAGCCACAUCACUGAUCGUAAUGGCUCGGUAGUCAUCACCAAACCUACAGUUCCUCUCAGCAAUCUUUCCUUCUCCUAACAAAGGAGAGAAGAAGACAUGGUUAGAUAUAAAAUUUACAUAAUAAUAAAAAAAUAAUAGCUGAAAAUUUUGAAAAGAAGACAGAAAUAUUAAAAAAAAAAAGAAAGCUUCCUUUUUUUGUUUCCCAGGAUAGGGAAUUAUCAGGUACUUAUAUUUCUAUUAACAUUGAAACAGAUCUUCUUAAUCAUUUUAAUAACUUGAUUUUUAAAGCUGCCUUUCUAUAAUUCAUGCUCUUGGGUAUUUAGGAACUGAUGUUUCCUCAAAGAAAACAAAAGUUAAAGGACCCACAAUAUGUACCCUCUGGCUCCCAAGCUUAAAACAGAGCAAUUUGAAGGAAGUUGUAUAGACUGGCAUGCAUAAUUUUUUUAAUAAGCUUAUACUACAAAGCUUCAACCAAAAAAAAAAAAAAAGAAAGUGUAAAUUGUAAAGAAUUAAAAGUAAACAUAUUCAUUACCAUUAUAAGCCAUCUCAACAUCCUUUAGAAACUUAAUUUUGAUUUUCUUGAGUAUGGCCACAACAGCCUUCAUAUUUUUCCUUUCUUCAGGCAACUUAGUUGUACAGUCUAGAGCUAAUCCCAUGAUAGAUGAUAAAGCGUUCACUUUAUCUAUGAAAAGUUCCUCCUCUCUUAACAAAUUGGCAUCCAAAACCUCAUCAAUUGUUCCAUUGGAAAGUGAAUUUUUCACCCAAUCCUUCAAACUCAUUUCAACGGAAAAAAUUUCUUCGGUAGGUUUCUUUCUUGUGAAAGUUUCCAUCAAUAAAAUACCAUAACUAUAGACAUCACCUUUUAGAGAAACAAUUCCAGUCGAUCCAUAUUCUGUAUGUAAAACAUGAUCAAAUGUUUUAGUUAAUGUAACAUCAUUAAUCAUCAAUGGAAAACUAAAAGAUUGAAGCAACUGUAUAUACAGAAACAUAAAUAUGAAUAAGAAGCAAAAAAUACCUGGUGCCAUAUACCCAAUAGUAGCAAGUGUCUUAGUUUGUCUUAUAGAAUCUUCUUCUCCCAAGAGUUUGGCAAGGCCAAAAUCUCCAACAUGUGCAACCAUGUCAUUAUCUAGCAGGAUAUUGCUUGGCUUUAAGUCACAAUGGAUCACAGGUACUGAGCAGCCAAAAUGGAGAUAUUCUAGUGCUGAUGCAACAUCAAUCAUUAUGUCAAUUCUUUGUAGGAGAUUGAGAUAAUAGUUAUAGGAAUAUAACCAUUUCUCAAGGUUGCCGUUAGGCAUGAACUCAAACAUUAAGGCUCUGAAGUCAACAUUAGAGCAACUACUAAAGACCUUGACAAGAUUCCGAUGAAAAAUAUUGCGCAUUGCUUCACAUUCAACAUCAAAACUCUUGAAGCCGUCCUCUGAGUGCAUAUUGAACACUUUUAUUGCGACAUUCAUCCCAUCUGAAAGUGUUCCUCUAUACACAGACCCAAAACCCCCUGAACCAAGCAAGUUGCAUUCAUCAAAUCCAUUAGUUGCUUGUAAAAGUUCACUGUAGGAAAUUCUUCUCCAUUUUUCCAGAGGCAAUAAAUCUUCGUUAACAGGCAGAUUUAUACUCUUUUUUUGGCAUCUUUUAAGGAGAAUAAAGAAGAUUGCUAUCAGUAUUAAUGAAGCAACUACUGGUAAAACAUAUUUCAAAACAUGCCAAGGAGUCAUCUUCGAUUGUCUACUUUUACAAGGUGGAACUUGUAGUGCCGGUGAACCGCAAAGUCCACAGUUAUUCAUAAAUGAUUUAGCUGAGAAGUUUCUAAAGGGUCCUCUACUGGGGAUUUCUCCUUCUAGUCUAUUGAAGGACACAUUAAAAUGAUUGAGAGACGAAAGUCUCUCCAAAGAUUUGGGAAUGACUCCAGAGAGAUUGUUGUUGGAUAAAUCCAAGGAUUCCAAACUUAUCAAAUCACCAAAUGAUUCAGGAAUAUAACCAUCAAAUCUAUUAUUGGAUAAGUCUAGAGAAAUCAGAUCCUGGAGUUCUCCAAUUGAACUCAAGAUUUCACCCGAUAACAGAUUCCUUGACAAAUUCAAAUGUGUCAAUACCUUCAGUUUCUCAAUGCCCAGUUGAAGGGAACCAUUCAAAUAAUUUGAGGACAAGUCUACCUCUAAGAUAUCAUUAAGGCUCCACAAGGAUAAGGGUAUUGUUGAAUUCAAUUUGUUGGAGUCUAAGUAAAGAUACCUCAGAGAAGUCAAAUUCGCCAAACAAGUUGGUAUAGGACCAUGGAGCAUGUUGCCACCUAAUGAUAGGUUAUAUAAUCUCUCUAAACCGCAGACACUUGGUGGGAUAGACCCUUGUAAUUGAUUACCAUGAAGAAGCAAACCCUGGACAUUUCGUAGCCUUCCUAUUGUUGCUGGAAUAGAUCCACUAAAUUCAUUAUGGGAAAGGUCUAAAGUUGUAAUAUUGCUUAAGUUACCAAUUUCCCUGGGAAUGCUACCUGUAAUUUUGACAUCUGAGGCAUAGAAAAAAUGAAGAGAUGUCGACAGAUUUGAGAUAGAACUUGGAAGAAUGCCAUUCAAUGGAUUGAAUGAUAGGUUCAAAUAUCUCAGAUUCCUGCAAUUUGCCAAAGAAGACAAAAAGCUCCACUCAUGUGUUGAAGUUUCAGUGAUCAAAUUAUUAGAUGCGAGGCUCAGCCGCUCAAGGAAAGUUAAAUUGCCAAGUGUAUUUGGGAUAAGACCAAAGAAUGAGUUUUCUUCUAGUGCUAAGAUUCUGAGCUUAGAAGCACUGGAGAUAAAAUUGGGAAUAUUGCCGCUGAGAUUAUUUCCCCAUAGUCUAAGCUCCUCAAGAUUUGAAAUUGAGAUCAUAGAAGGUAUUUCACCUGUCAAAAUGAACAAAUACAUUAUUCUACAAGUUUUAGGUUACCUUAUUGCAUUAUAUGUGAUUCUAUGGUACAACUAAAAUGAAUGUUAUGAGUAACUUUACUAGGAAUAGAAGCAAGAAGCAUUAACCAUCCAAAUUGUCAAAAAAAGACAGCAAUUAUCAAAAUCAAGCCUCUAUAUAUACAUAUUUGAACUUUCAUACUUAUCUUUUCUAUGAUUAAAACCUUUGUAAUGUAAUGCUUUCUAUGAUUAAAACCUUCGCAAUGCUAUGCCUAUUACUAUUCUUUAAUUUCAAGACAGAAACAUGAACCUUGCACUUUCAAGUUACAAUAGCAUAAUAUGGGUAAUUUUGUUAGUGAAAAAAAUUGUUGUCUUAUCCUAUUAUCAGUGAUGUCUUUGCUGAAACAUAACACUUUAUUAUCUUAUUUUUACACUAUGUAACAAACAAAGGAUAUCAUAACAAAUAUCAUAGUAAUUACAUCAUCUUGCUCAAACUUUGAACUAGGGACUAUUGAAUAUUGCACUAACAAGAACCAAAUACUCAUCAGAAUUUACUUCAAAAUUACUUGACCUAUGAAUGUAAAGAUACAUAUAUGGAUCAAAUCUGAAUGUAUUAUCAUGAUUCUCCUAUUAUUGAUUUUAUGAUUAUUUCUUUUAUAUUAAUUCUUACAACAUAUGUUAGAAAAUUUUGCCAAAUGUUCAUAAGUAGAUUACCAGAUAGACUAUUGUUGUUCAGAGAAAUUUCUUUUAAAGAAGAUAUGUUGAAGAUGGAAGGUGGGAUGGGACCAGUUAGACGCAUAUGCUGGACAGCCAAUAUCUCCAGUGAAUAAAGAUUUCCAAUUUCCCAUGGGAUUUCCCCUGCAAGCGUAACAAAAACCAAAGGAGCAAAAUCUCAGUAUUAUAAAGCUAUCCACUUUCUCAAC
Molecule: long non-coding RNA, 4370 nt
Filed under: Theobroma cacao (cacao)
Lineage: Eukaryota; Viridiplantae; Streptophyta; Magnoliopsida; Malvales; Malvaceae
Description: long non-coding RNA (TCAC_LNC004071)
Source: RNAcentral